Molecule: unclassified non-coding RNA, 90 nt
Filed under: Epilithonimonas pallida
Lineage: Bacteria; Pseudomonadati; Bacteroidota; Flavobacteriia; Flavobacteriales; Weeksellaceae
Description: Flavo-1 RNA
Source: RNAcentral
UUACAGCAGCCCGACUUGAGUGGAAAUCCUUUUUUUUGUGGCCGGAAAAGCUUUGGUAAAAAAGAUUGGGAACGGAAGGCGGAAAAGCUG